Molecule: ribosomal RNA, 253 nt
Filed under: uncultured bacterium
Lineage: Bacteria
Description: partial 16S ribosomal RNA
Rfam family: Bacterial small subunit ribosomal RNA
Source: RNAcentral
UACAGAGGGUGCGAGCGUUAAUCGGAAUUACUGGGCGUAAAGCGUGCGCAGGCGGGCUUUUAAGCCAGACGUGAAAUCCCCGGGCUUAACCUGGGAAUGGCGUUUGGGACUGGGAGUCUGGAGUGCGGCAGAGGAGACUGGAAAUCCUGGUGUAGCAGUGAAAUGCGUAGAUAUCAGGAGGAACACCGAUGGCGAAGGCAGGUCUCUGGGCUGACACUGACGCUCAUGCACGAAAGCGUGGGGAGCAAACAGG